This 477-nucleotide ribosomal RNA is filed under the name uncultured bacterium. RNAcentral's name for it is "SSU rRNA". It matches the Rfam family "Bacterial small subunit ribosomal RNA", at positions 26 to 521 of the family's 1533-position model. The record is from RNAcentral.
AGGAUGAACGCUGGCGGCGUGCCUAACACAUGCAAGUCGAACGUCCUGUCUCGCAAGAGGCAGGGAGUGGCGGACGGGUGAGUACCACGUGGGUCAUCUACCGUGAGGUGAGGAAUACCGGCGAGAAAUCGCCGACAAGACCGCAUAGGCUCGAUGCAAGUCGAGCAAAGCUCUUUCGAGAGAGGGAGCGCCACACGAGGAGCCUGCGCCCGAUUAGCUAGCUGGUGGAGUAACGGUUCACCAGGGCGACGAUCGGUAGCUGGUCUGAGAGGACGAUCAGCCACACUGGGAUUGAGAACGGCCCAGACUCCUACGGGGGGCAGCAGUGAGGAAUUUUCGUCAAUGGGGGCAACCCUGAACGAGCAACGCCGCGUGCAGGAAGAAGGUUUUCGGAUCGUAAACUGCUUUUCUCGGGGAAGAGAACGGACGGUACCCGAGGAAUCAGCCCCGGCUAACUACGACGCCAGCAGCCGCGGU